RNAcentral lists this ribosomal RNA (253 nucleotides) under uncultured bacterium. RNAcentral describes it as "partial 16S ribosomal RNA". It matches the Rfam family "Bacterial small subunit ribosomal RNA", at positions 524 to 777 of the family's 1533-position model. The record is from RNAcentral.
UACAGAGGGUGCAAGCGUUAAUCGGAAUUACUGGGCGUAAAGCGUGCGUAGACGGUCAUGUAAGUCGGGUGUGAAAGCCCCGGGCUCAACCUGGGAAUUGCAUUCGAGACUGCAUGGCUAGGGUGCGGAAGAGGGAAGCGGAAUUUCCGGUGUAGCGGUGAAAUGCGUAGAUAUCGGAAGGAACACCAGUGGCGAAAGCGGCUUCCUGGUCCAGCACCGACGUCAGGCACGAAAGCGUGGGGAGCAAACAGGG